AGUCCUAUAGCAUUGAGAGAGUUCCGUUGGUACAGCAUGAGGCUCUUAAUCUCAGGGUUGUGGAUUCGAGUCCCACUUGGGUAA
Non-coding RNA from Podarcis lilfordi (Lilford's wall lizard), 84 nucleotides. The record is from the annotation of a GenBank genome assembly. Lineage: Eukaryota; Metazoa; Chordata; Lepidosauria; Squamata; Lacertidae.